AGAAUCAACGCUGGCGGCGUGCCUCAGACAUGCAAGUCGAACGCGAAAGUUCCCUUCGGGGAGCGAGUAGAGUGGCGCACGGGUGAGUAACACGUAGGUAAUCUACCUUUGGGUGGGGAAUAACAGCCGGAAACGGCUGCUAAUACCGCAUAAUGCAGCGGCUCGACAUCGAGACAGUUGUUAAAGCGGGGGAUCGCAAGACCUCGCGCCUAAAGAGGAGCCUGCGGCGGAUUAGCUAGUUGGUGGGGUAAUGGCUCACCAAGGCAUCGAUCC
Molecule: ribosomal RNA, 273 nt
Filed under: uncultured soil bacterium
Lineage: Bacteria
Description: partial 16S ribosomal RNA
Rfam family: Bacterial small subunit ribosomal RNA
Source: RNAcentral